UACGAAGGGGACUAGCGUUGUUCGGAAUCACUGGGCGUAAAGCGCACGUAGGCGGAUGUGUCAGUCAGGGGUGAAAUCCCGGGGCUCAACCUCGGAACUGCCUUUGAUACAGCACGUCUCGAGUCCGGAAGAGGUGGGUGGAAUUCCUAGUGUAGAGGUGAAAUUCGUAGAUAUCGGGAGGAACACCAGUGGCGAAGGCGGCGACCUGGGCAGAUACUGACACUGAGGUGCGAAAGCGUGGGGAGCAAACAGG
Molecule: ribosomal RNA, 253 nt
Filed under: uncultured bacterium
Lineage: Bacteria
Description: partial 16S ribosomal RNA
Rfam family: Bacterial small subunit ribosomal RNA
Source: RNAcentral